CCUACGGGUGGCAGCAGUGAGGAAUAUUGGUCAAUGGACGUGAGUCUGAACCAGCCAAGUAGCGUGCAGGAUGACUGCCCUAUGGGUUGUAAACUUCUUUUAUACGGGAAUAAAAUGCUUCACGUGUGGGGUUUUGUAUGUACCACAUGAAUAAGGAUCGGCUAAUUCCGUGCCAGCAGCCGCGGUAAUACGGAGGAUCCGAGCGUUAUCCGGAUUUAUUGGGUUUAAAGGGAGCGUAGGUGGAUUGUUAAGUCAGUUGUGAAAGUUUGCGGCUCAACCGUAAAAUUGCAGUUGAAACUGGCAGUCUUGAGUACAGUAGAGGUGGGCGGAAUUCGUGGUGUAGCGGUGAAAUGCUUAGAUAUCACGAAGAACUCCGAUUGCGAAGGCAGUUCACUGGACUGCAACUGACACUGAGGCUCGAAAGUGUGGGUAUCAAACAGGAUUAGAUACCCCUGUAGUC
Molecule: ribosomal RNA, 460 nt
Filed under: uncultured bacterium
Lineage: Bacteria
Description: partial 16S ribosomal RNA
Rfam family: Bacterial small subunit ribosomal RNA
Source: RNAcentral